MicroRNA precursor from Homo sapiens (human), 75 nucleotides. The record is from Ensembl. Lineage: Eukaryota; Metazoa; Chordata; Mammalia; Primates; Hominidae.
CCCAUCUCCACCUGGACCCAGCGUAGACAAAGAGGUGUUUCUACUCCAUAUCUACCUGGACCCAGUGUAGAUGGG